RNAcentral lists this long non-coding RNA (2265 nucleotides) under Mus musculus (house mouse). RNAcentral describes it as "long non-coding RNA chr9:44148964-44151229". Lineage: Eukaryota; Metazoa; Chordata; Mammalia; Rodentia; Muridae. The record is from RNAcentral.
GCUAAGGAUCAGAGGUGUGCCUUAGCACACUCUUCUGUGCAGAGUGGGGGCUGAACCAUGGCUCUGUGAAUGCCAGACAAACACUCAACCAAUUGAGCUAUCUCCUUAGCCUCCACACAAGACAGAUGCACAAAGAAGGCAAAAGGCCUGCAGCCAGUGCUGUUUCCUUGAUACAUCUUCAGAUUCUGGGCAAUAGCUAAAAGGGAAAAAGACACUCCAAUAUAAACAGACUAGAGCCUGCAGCUUUUCCCUACUUUUCUUUUAAGGCCUUUAAUUUUCAUUUUUUAAUUUUUUCAUAUGUAUUUAUUUAAUGCUCUACCUGCCUGUAUAUAUGUACAUCGUAUGUGUGCCUGGUGCCCACAGAAGCCAGAAGAGGGCAUCAGAUUGCUCUGAACUGAAGUUAUAGAUGGUUGUGAGUUGCUUAUACAUCUGAGAAACCUUUCAUGUGGGUGCUAGGAACCAAACCUAGGUCCUCUGCAAGAAGAGCUGCUCUGAACUGAAGUCAUCUCUUUAACCCCUGUUAUUUUUGAGACAGGGUUUCAGGAGCUUUGAGCUGGUGCUGAACUCCUGAUCAUCUUGCCACCAUCUCUCAGGUGCUGAGAUGCCACCAAGCCUGGCUUAGGCUUUCAGUAUUCAAAUGAACACAAAAUUGGAUAUCACAAACUUUUUGUGGAUGACAAGCUAUUGUUUUCUACUCAUUGCUAUGUAGAGAAGACACUGGGUAGCCAUAGAUACCGUAUCUGCCUUUCGAAUAGCCUUAAGGUAAGAGGAUAAAAUCCAGACCUUGAAGCAUCAAGAAACUAAAAGAAGAGUUCAAAAGAUUUUUGUUGCAAAAGACUGGAAAGAAAGCAGAUUCUUGGUGGGUCAUUUCUGCCUGGACCUAAAGAACAGAGAGGAUUCAUGUAAAAGCCAGCUCGUACUCAACAGGAGAAAGGGCAACGCUGUCAGAGAAGCCAGCAAGACUCCAGUCAGAGAACAAACUGAACCCAAGAGGUCACUACGAUGACGUAGAAACGGACUCUCCAAAACAAAUUACAUCUCCUUGAUGAACCUGUAAAUACACAAACUAUUACACUGUUCCAAACCGUCUAGCUAAAGAAUUCCAAUGAAUGAUAACUAAAUACUGUAGAUGGAUGACACAGCGGUUACAUCUAGGACCCAAUAAAAAAGGCAAGGAAAAGGAAAGAGAAACCAUUCCAAAGCACAAGCUAGGCACAUGGACAACCAAGUCACUGGGUGCACCAAUCUAGAGAAGCCAUCAGCAAAUGCUGUCCUCACUGGUGUUAGCUCCGUUCCUCACAGGGCAAAAGAAGAAAUCAUUUCUGAAAGGCUUACCUGGCUCCCAUUCAAGGGAGAAAUUCCUAAGCUGAAGUUAGCCACUGGCAAGAAAGACUAAACAGAUAAGUCCUAGCUGUUUAUUUUGUAAAUCUAUAUAUGACUGACGCUUCCUAAAAGCUCUAUGGUUUUGGGUUGGAAAGCCACCCUGGAAACAAAUGUUCUGUUCCUGUUAGGCAGAAACACUCAUGACCUACAUCAGAAACAUACACCUGGCAUCAAGGCAACCGACUCCCACAGGCUAUGUCCUGGGGAGGACACGGAAUGUAUAUGAAGGCCUCUAUCUCAAAUCGGUCAUUAGGUAACUAGGAGAAUUAAAACUUCUUUAAAAAACAAAAACAAAAACAAAUUCAACAUUCCUAUAGAAACAGCACUUUGGAGUGACCAGUGUUAGGUGCUAGCAUCAAUUAGCCACAGAACAGUACUUUCCUUCCCACUUAGUCUACCAAACAAACCAACACCAUCACGCAUUAGAAAGACCAUCCUAUAAGCUGCUUGGUUUCAGUAAGACUGGUCACGGCAAGCCUACAGAACACCAAUGAGGAGGAGGUGAAGUAAGGAGUUUCCAAGGGAAAGGACAUUGGUUGUUCUAACAAUAUAAAACAUAGCUAAGUACAUGAUAAUCUAAGCCAAAGGGGAGGAUUGAGGUUACAGUAUCCAGCAGGGCUAGGUGCAAUUCCACAGUAGAUGGGAGUCUUCAGAGAUUCCUUCCUGAAGCUCUUGUGCUAACUCCCUGCCUGGAUUCACACACAGCAGGAUAAUCUUAUAAUGACAGGACACACAGACAACAGAGACACACACCCUUAACAGGAAAGCCUUAAGUCCUUAAUUAGGGCCACAGCACAGCACUGCUACUGCUUCCUGUGCUGUUUCUGGGGUAGGUUACCAUUUAAUAAAAACCCACUCUCUCCUACUGGAGACUGCAGGACU